AUUUAUAUAAUUUAAAAAAAAUAUUAUAUUUUCAUUAUAACAUUAAUAAAUUAAUUUAUUUAUAAAUA
Molecule: transfer RNA, 68 nt
Filed under: Apanteles gelechiidivoris
Lineage: Eukaryota; Metazoa; Arthropoda; Insecta; Hymenoptera; Braconidae
Description: tRNA-Glu
Source: RNAcentral